CCACCCGGAUGCCGUGAGGCCUCUGUCCGCUCAAUGGCCCUGGUGCACCUUCCCCGGUACCAGGUCAGCAGCGGGCGGACAGGGACCUGACGGCAUCCGCCAUAUUUC
This is a non-coding RNA of Amycolatopsis mediterranei S699, 108 nucleotides long. The record is from Rfam. NCBI's taxonomy places the organism in Bacteria, Bacillati, Actinomycetota, Actinomycetes, Pseudonocardiales, Pseudonocardiaceae.